Molecule: ribosomal RNA, 411 nt
Filed under: alpha proteobacterium ML45
Lineage: Bacteria; Pseudomonadati; Pseudomonadota; Alphaproteobacteria; Rhodobacterales; Paracoccaceae
Description: bacterial SSU rRNA
Rfam family: Bacterial small subunit ribosomal RNA
Source: RNAcentral
CCUGGCUCAGAACGAACGCUGGCGGCAGGCCUAACACAUGCAAGUCGAGCGCACCUUCGGGUGAGCGGCGAACGGGUUAGUAACGCGUGGGAACGUGCCCUUCACUGCGGAAUAGCCACUGGAAACGGUGAGUAAUACCGCAUACGCCCUUCGGGGGAAAGAUUUAUCGGUGAAGGAUCGGCCCGCGUCUGAUUAGAUAGUUGGUGGGGUAACGGCCUACCAAGUCUACGAUCAGUAGCUGGUUUGAGAGGAUGAUCAGCAACACUGGGACUGAGACACGGCCCAGACUCCUACGGGAGGCAGCAGUGGGGAAUCUUAGACAAUGGGCGCAAGCCUGAUCUAGCCAUGCCGCGUGAGUGACGAAGGCCUUAGGGUCGUAAAGCUCUUUCAGCUGUGAAGAUAAUGACGGUA